GUUUCUCAUUGAUUUUCUCAAUUUAACACAGUUGUUUAUAAAGGUGUUGGGGGCGUGGGGCGAAGAGGAACAGCCAACAGCAUAUCCUCCAUUUUAACAGAAGCUAAAAGUCCCCACGGAUACAUGAAGUUCACAAAGGAGUCCCUCAAAGGGGGCUUUUUCAAGAUAAUGGUUCUCGGCAUCAAGUUUACAAAAUGAUGUAAAAAUGAUGCCACGGCAAGCCGUACCCGGAAGGGGAGCAGGGCCUAAAUACAGAGGCCCGUAUGAACCAAAAUCCCUACUUCAGCAGAAAUUUGUAAUGAUCCAACCGCAGGUUCACCUACGGUUA
Molecule: unclassified non-coding RNA, 328 nt
Filed under: uncultured fungus
Lineage: Eukaryota; Fungi
Description: sequence contains ITS1
Source: RNAcentral